GGGGCUCGAACUUAUGACCCUGAGAUCAAGAGUCACCUGCUCUUCCGACUGAGCUAGACAGGCGCCCCAACUGAAGUUAUUUCUAAUUUUUCACUGUCCCAAGUGAUUCUGCAGUGAGUAUCCUUGAACUUGUUUUUCUAGAGUAUGUCCCUGGAAGUGGUGCUGCUCGCCCUUGGGAGAAGGCAUUCCCAGUUAUAGACACGUUGCCAAAUUGCUCACAAGCUUGGCUGGACCAGUUCACGCUGCCAUCAACGUGGGCUUCGGUUCUUCAGACACAAAUUCUCCUACCACUGGGGUUUUCCCGAAUCUGAACCCAGUGGCCAAGAAGAGAUGACUGGCAUGGGCACCGUAAGGGAAGGAGAAGGGUUGGACCUCUAGCUUCCAGCCGGGGAUUGCCUGUGGUCCUGAGCCAAUCAGAGAUGCCCAUGGGAGGUUUUCGUGUGUUGCACACACUACAAGGAAACAGGGCUAGGACAAAGACAAAGACAAAAACAGAAGAAACCGAAGGCCUCUUCCGAGACGUUAUAAGGGGGUCAAGAGAGGUCCUUAAUUGAACACUGGAGAUCAAGGCUGGAGAAAAGCCGCAGACCAGGACCCUUGACAAAUCCGAUCAGAUUUGGCACACAGCUAAGAAAGUUAAAAGACUCAGAGUCCGUGAAUUCUCCAGAAGCCUAAGGAGGACCAGGCUUACACUAAAUAAAGGACCCCAGCACGGGUAACGAAGACACCGGUUUACGCCUAGGUGCUGGCAUUUCUCUGGCUUUAACCCCAACUGCAUAUCUUAUUUAAAAAUAACA
Leopardus geoffroyi (Geoffroy's cat) is the source of this 797-nucleotide long non-coding RNA. RefSeq lists it as uncharacterized. Lineage: Eukaryota; Metazoa; Chordata; Mammalia; Carnivora; Felidae. The record is from RefSeq and is a predicted model, not a curated record. The transcript is spliced from 4 exons.